Molecule: ribosomal RNA, 427 nt
Filed under: uncultured bacterium
Lineage: Bacteria
Description: bacterial SSU rRNA
Rfam family: Bacterial small subunit ribosomal RNA
Source: RNAcentral
UGGGGAAUUUUGGACAAUGGGCGCAGGCCUGAUCCAGCAAUGCCGCGUGCAGGAUGAAGGCCUUCGGGUUGUAAACUGCUUUUGUACGGAGCGAAAAGGUCUGCCCUAAUACGGUGGGCUCAUGACGGUACCGUAAGAAUAAGCACCGGCUAACUACGUGCCAGCAGCCGCGGUAAUACGUAGGGUGCAAGCGUUAAUCGGAAUUACUGGGCGUAAAGCGUGCGCAGGCGGUUAUGCAAGACAGAGGUGAAAUUCCCGGGCUCAACCUGGGAACUGCAUUUGUGACUGCAUAGCUGGAGUGCGGCAGAGGGGGAUAGAAUUCCGCGUGGAGCAGUGAAGUGCGUAGAUAUGCGGAGGAACACCGAUGGCGAAGGCAAUCCCCUGGGCCUGCACUGACGCUCAUGCACGAAAGCGUGGGGAGCAAACA